GAAAAAGAACACUGAGGUAGGGAAAUAGUGUCUCCAUCUCUUCUUCCUAGUAUUCAUGUCUACCAAAUGCUUUCUUUGGCUUCCUCUGAAAGAAGCCAGUUUCAGCAAGUGAGUUUGUGAUUCUUUCUCCUUUCAGGUACCUGUUUCCCAGGCAACUACUGAUCAGGCAUUUCUGGACCCCAAAACAACAAACUGAUUUCUUAGAUAUCUAUCAUGCUUUCCGGAAGCAGUCCCACCCAGAAAUUAUUAGUUAUUUAGAAAAGGUCAUCCCUUUCAUUUCUGAUGCAGGACUCCGGUGGCGUCUGACAGAUCUGUGCACCAAGGUAUUCCUGCAGUUAACCCUUCCUACAAAUGUGGAAUCUUGUUAGAUUCAGUGUGCACUAAAACUAGCUAAGAGGAGUAGUCAGGACUUUCCUAACAUCUACAAAUCUCUUACCUCUUCCAAGAUACAGCGUGGUACCCACCCAGCAAUACAUGAUAUCUUGGCUCUGAGAGAGUGUUUCUCUAACCAUCCUCUGGGCAUGAACCAACUCCAGGCUUUGCACGUGAAAGCCUUGAGCCGGGCCAUGCUUCUCACAUCUUACCUGCCUCCUCCCUUGUUGAGACAUCGUUUGAAGACUCAUACAACUGUGAUUCACCAACUGGACAAGGCUUUGGCAAAGCUGGGGAUUGGCCAGCUGACUGCUCAGGAAGUAAAAUCGGUAAGAGCUUGAUUGCAACAUCAACCC
RNAcentral lists this small RNA (728 nucleotides) under Pan troglodytes (chimpanzee). RNAcentral's name for it is "retained intron". Lineage: Eukaryota; Metazoa; Chordata; Mammalia; Primates; Hominidae. The record is from RNAcentral.